AAACACCCUCACGUACACACACUGUUGAACAGUUGAAUAAAUACACUCAAGGCAAUGCACUGAAGGACCCAGUGGGAAUUCUUGUCUCAGGGAUAUAUAUAUUUAGGACACACUAAAAACUUCCAAAGAGCUUCAGACUACCAAGGAAAAAAAGGAUGGGGGUGAAAGCUUUGCAGUGUUUCCCCUGGUAUGGGAGAAGAAAAGAAAGAAAGAGGAAGAAGAGUGAAGAAGAGUCUCCUACUACUGCCUCUCCAACAGAGAAACCAAGACUCUGCUCUACCUCAUCAGGAAACAGCGACACAGACAAACAGCAGGGACGGGCCUACUUCAGUGGUAAGGCCAGAGUUUCCUUUCGCCAUGAGAUGGAUUCCACCAUGACUGCAAAUGACUCCACUUUCUGAGGCUUGAUAACUGAUGCAAAGGCCGCUAUGUGAGGCCCUCAUUUAUGAGUAAAUAAACAGACUUGACCUUCCAUGCCUUGGUGAAGAAAGGCAGUAAAUGAGUCAUUUAACUUCUGAGCCAUAUAAAGAGGACAUGAUUUGAAGACAAGGUCUUCUUGUGUAACUACUAACUACAUAAACAUUUUAUAAUGAACUCCUAUAGACAAAUUGUAAUAUGUUCUGUAUUCCGUUAAUAUGUUCAGUUUUUGUGUGUGCGCCUAGCAUGAUGUGUUUGUAUAUCAGCAGCACAAACCAAUGUGUUACUGAAAUAUUGCAGAUUUGGAUGAGAAAUGACAUGAAAGCGAACAGGAAAUAUGGCAUAUAUAACAGAAAUGUCCUGGAGACUGUAGUUAUAUAAACUUACUAUGUGAAUUAGGAGCUACUAACUAAACAAUCUUUUUGUAAGGUCAUUGAAGUGAUGAAUCAAUAUUAACAUUAUCCAGACAUUGUAUCCUUCCAACCAACAAAAGUUUUAAAGUGAAUGGGAAACCAAUUGCGGAGACCGAUUCAGUCGGUUGUUUAAUUGAUGUAAACUGGCUUUUGCUUAAAACACAAGGCAGCACAGCAGCCUGAAAAAAGAGGCAAAACUAUAUUGUAGAAAUACAAAAACAGGUUUACAUUAAAGGGAUAGUAAACACCUUGUACCAUAUUACCCAGGUCUAUACAUUCUUAAAUAAAAUUAAGAUCUUGUUUGCUGUAUUUGUUUUCAAUAGCCAAACACCACCACCAGGUGUCUUAUUUGGAAGAGCCAAUCUGGGCUUGAGUCUGCAUACAACAAGGGUAGCCACAGUCAUAAUGUUAAUAUAAAGUGCAUUGUUUUGUAGUUGUUUUCUGCUUAAAGGGACAUUAAACACUUUGAGAUAGUAAUAUAAAAAGAUAAAUCGUAUAUCUAUAAAUAACUUUACAAAAUACUUUCAUUAUUUGUUUUGCCCCCUUUUUCUGUAAUUCCAUUAUGAAAUUGAGAGCAUUUCAAUUCCUGUUAGAAAUGGAAGUGCAGAACAUUGUUAUAUUCCACACAGCCAUUGACUGCGCACUCUAGUGACCUAAUUAUAACUGUAAUUGGCCACAGCAGAGACCGUAACCUAAGUUACAACAUGGCAGCUCCCAUUGUUUUACAGACAAUAAGGGGUCUAUUUAACAAAGGUCUGUCGGAUCAGGUUCGACAGACCUCGCUGAAUGCGGAGAGCAAUACGCUCUCCGUAUUCAGCAUUACACUAGCAGCUCUUAUGAACUGCUGGUGCAACGCCGCCCCCAGCAGAUUUGCGGCCAAUCGGCCGCCAGCAGGGGCUUCAUAACUGGUGUUUCGGGCCCUCAGGCUCCAUUCGGAGUUUGAUAAAUUUGCCCCCAAAACUUUACACUUAUUUUGUCAAUAUUUAAACAACUAAUGAAACUUUAAAAAUCUACAUGUUUUUAUUCUCAGACUAAUCUUUUCUGUGAAUGCGUCAUUCUAUCUAGCAUUUAUUUAGUGUUUAAUCUUAAGCUAAAUAGGGACUAAUAUGUUGCAGGGCUAUCUUUGAGAAGUCUGCAGGUUUCUUUUCCAGGUCUGAGAAAUAUAAAAGCCACACUUUUCAGAGGUAAAUUACAUGAAAGGGGGGUAAAAUAACAAAUUAAAGUAUAUUGCACAGAUUUUCUUGAAAUCUCAAGGUGUUUACUGUCCUUUUAAGGGUGUAGAGAUUGAAUUUACGCAAAUACAGUGUCCAUAUCCCUUCAAUAUGAAUACAGUAAGGAAAAAAACAUGCUUACAUUAAAUAACAAGACAUGGAAGUUAUGUAUUAAUGCACAAAUAUAUUCAUAUCCCUUUUAAGUAACAUAUUUACUUUUGCUUGGUGAAUAUUACAUUUGCUGUCUUUUUUUAGCUUUCUGAAUAUAAACUAUGCAGGCUGGCAGACUGAGGUAAGUGAAGAUAUGCAGGGGGGGGAAACAGGUUUUUCAAGGCAAAAAUUGUAGACUAAAGUGGAAUAUAAAUUAAAAUGUGCUAGGACUCGCUCUCAUAUAGAAAGACACAAAACAUGAAAUAGAACAGAGAAAGUGAAUAUACUUGGGGGGGGGGGAUGAGUUAGUGCAUUUUAUUCCAAAACUAUAUAGAGUUACCAGUUGGCCUCUUUAACCAACUUUGGUCUUCAAGGAAUAUAAAUUCAGUCUUGAAUGAGCAAAUAUGAGUCAAAAAGUUCAGACAUCUUUUUCACAUCCUUAAUAAUAAAAGGUUAAAAAAAAAAGAGAGAGAGAAGCCACUUUUGCUGCAUUCCACAUUUUGUACAAUAUUAUAGCAUUAAAGGUGCACUGAACCCAAAUUUUUUUCUUUUGUGAUUCAGAUAAAGCAUGCAAUUUUAAGCAACUUUCUAAUUUACUCCUAUUAUCAAAUUUUCUUCAUUCUCUUUGUAUGUUUAUUUAAAAAGCAAGAAUGUAAGUUUAGAUGCCGGCCCAUUUUUGGUGAACAACCUGGGUUGUCCUUGCUCAUUGGACAGCACUAAUAAAAAGUGCUCUCUAUGGUUCUGAACCAAAAAUUUGUUGGCUCCUUAGCUUAGAUGCCUUCUUUUUCAAAUAAAGAUAGCAAGAGAACAAAGAAAAAUUGAUAAUAAAAGUAAAUUAGAAAGUUGCUUAAAAUGGCAUGCUCUAUCUGAAUCAUGAAAGAAAAAAUUUGGGUUCAGUGUCCCUUUAAGCAACAAAAUACUUUUCUUUUUUUUUAAUGUUUCACUAAAAUCUUUAAAUAUUCUACCUCAACCGCCUUAAAGGGACACUGAACCCACAUUUUUUCUUUCAUGAUUCAGAUAGAGCAUGAAAUUUUAAGACACUUUCUAAUUGACUUUUUCUUCAUUCUCUUGCUAUCUUUAUUUUAAAAGCAGGAAUGUAAAUCUUGCUUAUUGGAGGCUUACAUUUACCCACCAAUAAGCAAGCAUAACCUAGGUUCUCAACCAAAAAUGGGCCGGCUCCUAUGCAUCACAUUCCUGCUUUUUAAAUAAAGAUAGCAAGAGAACGAAAAAAUUGAUAAUAGGAGUAAAUUAGAAAGUUGCUUAAAAUUGCAUGCUCUAUCUAUCUGAAUAAUGAAGGGAAAAAAAUGUGUUUAGUGUCCUUUUAAGCAGAGAUAUCUCUGCUCAGUCAUAGAUUCUCAUUUGAAUUAACUAUGCUAAAAGCCUAUAUCUUUUAGGUGUUAAAAUGCACUGUGAGUGGGAGAGAGUACAUGUAGUGGGUAAAUAUGAACAGUGUAGUUUCUGUGUUUUGUGUGGUAAAUCGGAGGAAAUGGGUUGAAAUGAGAAAUCUUGUCUUCGUGUAAAGCUGCCAUGUUGCCUUUUGGCCACUACUUAAUAGUCAACAUCAGUUUUAGUAAGAACAUAAAGUUAUUUGAAUUGCUGAACAUGCAUAUUAUAAUAAAUCUUAUGUAGUAAACAAACUGCAUUUUACAAAGAUUGUAAUUUGAGGGAGUAGACAAAAGGUUUGGUGCUGCAAAAGAGACAUCUAGUGGUCAAAAUCAGGAACUGAUAAGUAUGUAGAAAUCAGAAACAGUCAGGAUCCAAUACUAGAUAAUCGCUCACAUGUCACAAGAAAACUAGAACAGUAUGAAGGGUAAUCUAUUUACAGUUUUUUCCCCUUACAAAGGUCUGCAACUCAUGAAAAUUUAUAUAAAUGUAAUGACUGUUCAUUUGAUAAAAAUAGUUUGUUAAAAAUAAUAAUGUAAUCUGCACAUUUAUUUCACAUCUGUCAUGUCUGAUAUCUUCAGUUAUACAUAUCUCAUCUUUAUCACAAGGUUCCCCUCCCCCACCCACACACACACAAAUGCCUGCCCCUUAUGAAAGAUCAGUUCACAUUGUACAGAUUGUUUAAAAUAAAUUUGCAUUUAUUUCAUAUGUA
Molecule: long non-coding RNA, 4286 nt
Organism: Bombina bombina (fire-bellied toad)
Lineage: Eukaryota; Metazoa; Chordata; Amphibia; Anura; Bombinatoridae
Exons: 4
Source: RefSeq, a predicted model, not a curated record